UAAAUGUGCUAUACAAACUCCCACUAAAAUACAUAAUCCUUAUCUGAUUUGACACCCAUACAAGCAAUAUGCUCAAGAAAUACUUUUGGUGUCAAUCCAUUAGUGAGCGGAUCCGCAAGCAUGGAGUUUGUACUUAUGUACUUAAUGCACAUUGUCCAUUUUGUACUCUUUCCUUAACAACCCGAAAUUUGACGUCCUUAUGUUUCAAAGCCCAAGCCCUAGUUCUUCCAAUUUUUAUCCAAAUUUCUAAUAAUUAA
This 257-nucleotide long non-coding RNA is filed under the name Nicotiana benthamiana. RNAcentral's name for it is "long non-coding RNA (NBEN_LNC009727)". Lineage: Eukaryota; Viridiplantae; Streptophyta; Magnoliopsida; Solanales; Solanaceae. The record is from RNAcentral.